AGCUGGUAGCGCAGUGGUUAAAGUUGUUGUUUUUGAACCAAAUGGUUACAGCUUCAAAUGCUGCCUUUAGCUG
RNAcentral lists this transfer RNA (73 nucleotides) under Scleropages formosus (Asian bonytongue). Its description in RNAcentral is "tRNA-Gln". Lineage: Eukaryota; Metazoa; Chordata; Actinopteri; Osteoglossiformes; Osteoglossidae. The record is from RNAcentral.